AGAGUUUGAUCCUGGCUCAGGACGAACGCUGGCGGCGUGCCUAACACAUGCAAGUCGAGCGAAGUGUUUAGGAUGACUCCUUCGGGAUGAUUCCUAAAUAUCUUAGCGGCGGACGGGUGAGUAACGCGUGAGAAACCUGCCUUUCACAAAGGAAUAGCCUCGGGAAACUGGGAUUAAUACCUUAUGAUACCUAAGCUCCACAUGGAGCCUAGGUUAAAGCGUAAAGCGGUGAAAGAUGGUCUCGCGUCCCAUUAGUUAGUUGGUGAGGUAAAGGCUCACCAAGACCAUGAUGGGUAACCGGCCUGAGAGGGUGAACGGUCACACUGGAACUGAGACACGGUCCAGACUCCUACGGGAGGCAGCAGUGGGGAAUAUUGCACAAUGGAGGAAACUCUGAUGCAGCGACGCCGCGUGAAUGAUGAAGGUCUUCGGAUCGUAAAAUUCUGUCCUAGGGGACGAUAAUGACGGUACCCUAGGAGGAAGCCCCGGCUAACUAUAUGCCAGCAGCCGCGGUAAUACAUAGGGGGCAAGCGUUGUCCGGAUUUAUUGGGUUUAAAGGGAGCGUAGGCGGGAUGUUAAGUCAGUUGUGAAAGUUUGCGGCUCAACCGUAAAAUUGCAGUUGAUACUGGCGUCCUUGAGUGCGGCAGAGGAAGGCGGAAUUCGUGGUGUAGCGGUGAAAUGCUUAGAUAUCACGAAGAACUCCGAUUGCGAAGGCAGCUUUCUGGACCGUAACUGACGCUGAUGCUCGAAAGUGCGGGUAUCAAACAGGAUUAGAUACCCUGGUAGUCCGCACAGUAAACGAUGGACACUCGCUGUUGGCGAUACACGGUCAGCGG
Molecule: ribosomal RNA, 836 nt
Filed under: uncultured bacterium
Lineage: Bacteria
Description: bacterial SSU rRNA
Rfam family: Bacterial small subunit ribosomal RNA
Source: RNAcentral